UGGGGAAUAUUGCGCAAUGGGCGAAAGCCUGACGCAGCAACGCCGCGUGAAGGAUGACGGUCUUCGGAUUGUAAACUUCUAUCGAUGGGGAAGAAUAAAUGACGGUACCCAAGUAAGAAGCACCGGCUAACUACGUGCCAGCAGCCGCGGUAAUACGUAGGGUGCAAGCGUUAUCCGGAAUUACUGGGCGUAAAGGGUGAGUAGGCGGUUGAUCAAGUCAUAUGUGAAAAUUAAGGGCUCAACCCUUAACUUGCAUAAGAAACUGGUUGACUAGAGUGCAGGAGAGGUAAGUGGAAUUCCUAGUGUAGCGGUGAAAUGCGUAGAUAUUAGGAAGAACACCAGUGGCGAAGGCGACUUACUGGACUGUAACUGACGCUGAGUCACGAAAGCGUGGGGAGCG
RNAcentral lists this ribosomal RNA (400 nucleotides) under uncultured bacterium. RNAcentral describes it as "bacterial SSU rRNA". It matches the Rfam family "Bacterial small subunit ribosomal RNA", at positions 355 to 770 of the family's 1533-position model. The record is from RNAcentral.